CAGUCGCCACGGUAAAACGUAGGUGGCAAGCGUUGUCCGGAAUUAUUGGGCGUAAAGCGCGCGCAGGCGGAUAGGUCAGUCUGUCUUAAAAGUUCGGGGCUUAACCCCGUGAUGAGAUGGAAACUGCCAAUCUAGAGUAUCGGAGAGGAAAGUGGAAUUCCUAGCGUAGCGGUGAAAUGCGUAGAUAUUAGGAAGAACACCAGUGGCGAAGGCGACUUUCUGGACGAAAACUGACGCUGAGGCGCGAAAGCCAGGGGAGCGAACGGGAUUAGAUACCCCAGUAGUCCCUGUCUCUUAUACA
RNAcentral lists this ribosomal RNA (301 nucleotides) under uncultured bacterium. Its description in RNAcentral is "partial 16S ribosomal RNA". It matches the Rfam family "Bacterial small subunit ribosomal RNA", at positions 509 to 809 of the family's 1533-position model. The record is from RNAcentral.